GAUGAACGCUGGCGGCGUGCCUAAUACAUGCAAGUCGAACGCAUAGCGAAAGGUGCUUGCACCUUUCAAGUGAGUGGCGAACGGGUGAGUAACACGUGGACAACCUGCCUCAAGGCUGGGGAUAACAUUUGGAAACAGAUGCUAAUACCGAAUAAAACUUAGUGUCGCAUGACACAAAGUUAAAAGGCGCUUCGGCGUCACCUAGAGAUGGAUCCGCGGUGCAUUAGUUAGUUGGUGGGGUAAAGGCCUACCAAGACAAUGAUGCAUAGCCGAGUUGAGAGACUGAUCGGCCACAUUGGGACUGAGACACGGCCCAAACUCCUACGGGAGGCUGCAGUAGGGAAUCUUCCACAAGGGGCGAAAGCCUGAUGGAGCAACGCCGCGUGUGGGAUGAAGGCGUUCGGGUCGUAAAGCACUGUUGUAUGGGAAGAACAGCUAGAAUAGGAAAUGAUUUUAGUUUGACGGUACCAGACCAGAAAGGGACGGCUAAAUACGUG
This 497-nucleotide ribosomal RNA is filed under the name uncultured bacterium. RNAcentral's name for it is "partial 16S ribosomal RNA". It matches the Rfam family "Bacterial small subunit ribosomal RNA", at positions 28 to 507 of the family's 1533-position model. The record is from RNAcentral.